AGUCGAACGGCAGCGCGGGGCAACCUGGCGGCGAGUGGCGAACGGGUGAGUAAUAUAUCGGAACGUACCCAAGAGUGGGGGAUAACGUAGCGAAAGUUACGCUAAUACCGCAUACGAUCCAAGGAUGAAAGUGGGGGAUUCGCAAGAACCUCAUGCUCCUGGAGCGGCCGAUAUCUGAUUAGCUAGUUGGUGAGGUAAAGGCUCACCAAGGCGACGAUCAGUAGCUGGUCUGAGAGGACGACCAGCCACACUGGAACUGAGACACGGUCCAGACUCCUACGGGAGGCAGCAGUGGGGAAUUUUGGACAAUGGGCGCAAGCCUGAUCCAGCAAUGCCGCGUGAGUGAAGAAGGCCUUCGGGUUGUAAAGCUCUUUUGUCAGGGAAGAAACGGUUGAGGUUAAUACCUUCGGCUAAUGACGGUACCUGAAGAAUAAGCACCGGCUAACUACGUGCCAGCAGCCGCGGUAAUACGUAGGGUGCAAGCGUUAAUCGGAAUUACUGGGCGUAAAGCGUGCGCAGGCGGUUUUGUAAGUCUGUCGUGAAAGCCCCGGGCUCAACCUGGGAAUUGCGAUGGAGACUGCAAGGCUUGAAUCUGGCAGAGGGGAGUAGAAUUCCACGUGUAGCAGUGAAAUGCGUAGAGAUGUGGAGGAACACCGAUGGCGAAGGCAGCCCCCUGGGUCAAGAUUGACGCUCAUGCACGAAAGCGUGGGGAGCAAACAGGAUUAGAUACCCUGGUAGUCCACGCCCUAAACGAUGUCUACUAGUUGUCGGGUUUUAAUUAACUUGGUAACGCAGCUAACGCGUGAAGUAGACCGCCUGGGGAGUACGGUCGCAAGAUUAAAACUCAAAGGAAUUGAC
RNAcentral lists this ribosomal RNA (858 nucleotides) under uncultured bacterium. Its description in RNAcentral is "bacterial SSU rRNA". It matches the Rfam family "Bacterial small subunit ribosomal RNA", at positions 60 to 914 of the family's 1533-position model. The record is from RNAcentral.